This 440-nucleotide ribosomal RNA is filed under the name uncultured bacterium. RNAcentral describes it as "partial 16S ribosomal RNA". It matches the Rfam family "Bacterial small subunit ribosomal RNA", at positions 338 to 795 of the family's 1533-position model. The record is from RNAcentral.
CCUACGGGGGGCAGCAGUGGGGAAUAUUGCACAAUGGGGGAAACCCUGAUGCAGCGACGCCGCGUGAGUGAAGAAGUAAUUCGUUAUGUAAAGCUCUAUCAGCAGGGAAGAAAAUGACGGUACCUGAGUAAGAAGCCCCGGCUAACUACGUGCCAGCAGCCGCGGUAAUACGUAGGGGGCAAGCGUUAUCCGGAUUUACUGGGUGGAAAGGGAGCGUAGACGGCAGUGCAAGUCUGGAGUGAAAGGCGGGGGCUCAACCCCCGGACUGCUCUGGAAACUGUACGGCUGGAGUGCAGAAGAGGUAAGUGGAAUUCCUAGUGUAGCGGUGAAAUGCGUAGAUAUUAGGAGGAACACCAGUGGCGAAGGCGGCUUACUGGACUGUAACUGACGUUGAGGCUCGAAAGCGUGGGGAGCAAACAGGAUUAGAUACCCCUGUAGUC